GAUGAACGCUGGCGGCGUGCCUAAUACAUGCAAGUCGAGCGAACAGACGAGGAGCUUGCUUCUCUGAUGUUAGCGGCGGACGGGUGAGUAACACGUGGAUAACCUACCUAUAAGACUGGGAUAACUUCGGGAAACCGGAGCUAAUACCGGAUAAUAUUUUGAACCGCAUGGUUCAAAAGUGAAAGACGGUCUUGCUGUCACUUAUAGAUGGAUCCGCGCUGCAUUAGCUAGUUGGUAAGGUAACGGCUUACCAAGGCAACGAUGCAUAGCCGACCUGAGAGGGUGAUCGGCCACACUGGAACUGAGACACGGUCCAGACUCCUACGGGAGGCAGCAGUCGGGAAUCUUCCGCAAUGGGCGAAAGCCUGACGGAGCAACGCCGCGUGAGUGAUGAAGGUCUUCGGAUCGUAAAACUCUGUUAUUAGGGAAGAACAUAUGUGUAAGGAACUGUGCACAUCUUGACGGUACCUAAUCAGAAAGCCACGGCUAACUACGUG
This 497-nucleotide ribosomal RNA is filed under the name uncultured bacterium. Its description in RNAcentral is "partial 16S ribosomal RNA". It matches the Rfam family "Bacterial small subunit ribosomal RNA", at positions 28 to 507 of the family's 1533-position model. The record is from RNAcentral.